This 22-nucleotide non-coding RNA is filed under the name Arabidopsis thaliana (thale cress). Lineage: Eukaryota; Viridiplantae; Streptophyta; Magnoliopsida; Brassicales; Brassicaceae. The record is from RNAcentral.
UCUUUGAAAUUUCAUCGUGAUG